This 531-nucleotide ribosomal RNA is filed under the name uncultured marine eukaryote. RNAcentral describes it as "SSU rRNA". It matches the Rfam family "Eukaryotic small subunit ribosomal RNA", at positions 621 to 1153 of the family's 1831-position model. The record is from RNAcentral.
AAAAAGCUCGUAUUUGGAUUUCUGUGUUGGUGAGGCGGCCGGCCACUCGUGGUUGUAGCUAGUUAUCACCGGCGCAUCUUGUCACAAGCCACGCUGGCCUUAACUGGUUGGCGUUGGGGACUGACUCGUUUACUUUGAGAAAAUUAGAGUGUUCAAAGCAGGCUAUCGCCUUGAAUAUGUUAGCAUGGAAUAAUGAUAUAGGACUUUGGUUCUAUUUUGUUGGUUGUUCGAGAACCGAAGUAAUGAUUGAUAGGGACAGUUGGGGGCAUCAGUAUUCUGAAGCGAGAGGUGAAAUUCUUGGACCUUCGGAAGACUAACAACUGCGAAAGCAUUUGCCUAGGAUGUUCUCUUUAAUCAAGAACGAAAGUUGGGGGAUCGAAGACGAUCAGAUACCGUCGUAGUCUCAACUAUAAACUAUGCCAGCUAGGGAUUGGUGGACGUUUAUUUACGACUCCAUCAGCACCUUAUGAGAAAUCAAAGCAUUUGGGUUCCGGGGGGAGUAUGGUCGCAAGGCUGAAACUUAAAAGGAAU